UACGGAGGGAGCUAGCGUUGUUCGGAAUUACUGGGCGUAAAGCGCGCGUAGGCGGCUUUGUAAGUUAGAGGUGAAAGCCUGGAGCUCAACUUCAGAAUUGCCUUUAAGACUGCAUCGCUUGAAUCCGGGAGAGGUGAGUGGAAUUCCGAGUGUAGAGGUGAAAUUCGUAGAUAUUCGGAAGAACACCAGUGGCGAAGGCGGCUCACUGGACCGGCAUUGACGCUGAGACGCGAAAGCGUGGGGAGCGAACAGG
RNAcentral lists this ribosomal RNA (253 nucleotides) under uncultured bacterium. RNAcentral's name for it is "partial 16S ribosomal RNA". It matches the Rfam family "Bacterial small subunit ribosomal RNA", at positions 524 to 776 of the family's 1533-position model. The record is from RNAcentral.